CAGCCGCCGCGGUAAUACCGGCGGCCCGAGUGGCGGUCACUAUUAUUGGGCUUAAAGCGUCCGUAGCCGGGUUGGGAAGUCCUCCGGGAAAUCUGGCCGCUUAACGGUCAGAAUGCCGGAGGAUACUCCCAGCCUAGGGAGCGGGAGAGGCCGAGGGUAUUCCCGGAGGAGGGGGGAAAUCCUAUAAUCCCGGGAGGACCACCUGUGGCGAAGGCGCUCGGCUGGAACGCGUCCGACGGUGAGGGACGAAGGCCAGGGGAGCAAACCGGAUUAGAUACCCGGGUAGUCCUGGCGGUAAACGAUGCGGACUUUGUGUCGGACAAGCUAUGAGCUUGUCCGGUGCCGGAGGGAAACCGUUAAGUCCGCCGCCUGGGGAGUACGGCCGCAAGGCUGAAACUUAAAGGAAUUGGCGGG
RNAcentral lists this ribosomal RNA (414 nucleotides) under uncultured microorganism. RNAcentral's name for it is "bacterial SSU rRNA". It matches the Rfam family "Archaeal small subunit ribosomal RNA", at positions 459 to 872 of the family's 1478-position model. The record is from RNAcentral.